Molecule: non-coding RNA, 218 nt
Filed under: Virgibacillus pantothenticus
Lineage: Bacteria; Bacillati; Bacillota; Bacilli; Caryophanales; Bacillaceae
Description: T-box sequence
Rfam family: T-box leader
About the family: Uncharged tRNA acts as the effector for transcription antitermination of genes in the T-box leader family. T-boxes are found upstream of many aminoacyl-tRNA synthetase genes and some amino acid biosynthetic genes usually in Gram-positive bacteria.
Source: RNAcentral
AUAAUGACAAUGCCGAGGAAUAGUAAUAAAUCCCUUCAGGUAUAGAGAGGCAGUGAUUGGUGGAAACUGUCCCUGAAUAUUUAUGAACUCGCCUUGAGCCGUUGCAGAAGCGAAUUUUUAUGUAGUUUCUGACGUAUGUCCACGUUACGGAUUUUAAGCGAAUGCAGAUCAUGCAUUAAAUUGGGUGGUACCGCGGGAAAUAGCAUCUCGUCCCUUCU